Molecule: ribosomal RNA, 301 nt
Filed under: uncultured bacterium
Lineage: Bacteria
Description: partial 16S ribosomal RNA
Rfam family: Bacterial small subunit ribosomal RNA
Source: RNAcentral
CAGCCGCCGCGGGAAUACGUAGGGUGCGAGCGUUAAUCGGAAUUACUGGGCGUAAAGCGUGCGCAGGCGGUUCGUUAAGACAGAUGUGAAAUCCCCGGGCUUAACCUGGGAACUGCAUUUGUGACUGGCGAGCUAGAGUAUGGCAGAGGGGGGUAGAAUUCCACGUGUAGCAGUGAAAUGCGUAGAGAUGUGGAGGAAUACCGAUGGCGAAGGCAGCCCCCUGGGCCAAUACUGACGCUCAUGCACGAAAGCGUGGGGAGCAAACAGGAUUAGAGACCCGAGUAGUCCCUGUCUCUUAUAA